This 182-nucleotide non-coding RNA is filed under the name Prosthecobacter sp. RNAcentral's name for it is "6S RNA". It matches the Rfam family "6S / SsrS RNA". From Rfam's summary of the family: E. coli 6S RNA was the first non coding RNA to be sequenced, but its function was unknown until recently. Lineage: Bacteria; Pseudomonadati; Verrucomicrobiota; Verrucomicrobiia; Verrucomicrobiales; Verrucomicrobiaceae. The record is from RNAcentral.
CCUUUCCUGCGGUGCUCGUUAUCGUGCCUUGUGGCCCGGCCCGUUUCUAUAUAUGCGGGGGCUGCGCGCUGGAGUGACAUGUCAUGCCUUCACUGGAAGACAGUGCUCCUUCAACGCGGGUUCCCACCUGGUCUCAUGGGAUUCGUGAGCCUUUGGUUGCGGACGGCACAGGCGGGUUUGAA